RNAcentral lists this long non-coding RNA (822 nucleotides) under Danio rerio (zebrafish). RNAcentral describes it as "lncRNA (ENSDARG00000117307.1)". Lineage: Eukaryota; Metazoa; Chordata; Actinopteri; Cypriniformes; Danionidae. The record is from RNAcentral.
UUCCAGGCACUGGACCUUCUGAGUGCCUCUCAAGUUGCUCAGCUGACCCUAACAUCUGGAGCGCUGAACAACGCAGAUCUGAUCACCAUGGUCUUUGAGCGUCUUGACGGCAGCAAUGCUUUCCAGGAUGUGGACCAGUUCUUGACGGUUCUCACCCAGACCUCGCAGGUUUUGAACAUCAGCCCUGUGGUGAGAGACAUCAUGAUGAAUGGAACCUUCCAAAUCAUCCGCCUUUAUUUCGCCGAGUUCACGAGCUACGACUGGAUUUCCUGGUUCACGCUGAAACUGAGUCCGGUCCUUUCCAGCUUGACUGCAGAGAUGCUCCAGACAGUAACAUCAUAUACCGACUGUGACGCAUACCACAUCAUGUACGUAACGAUUUCCAUAUGCUAGCCAGCUCUGCAAUGUUUUCAGUUUUCUGCGUCAUGCUUAGAUUUCUUCUGCCGUGUUUUGAUCCAAUCUAGCGUCGGGGCUCUGAGCAGCCACUUUGAGCAGAUGACAUCGCUGAGACAGCAGGAGCUCACCGCAGUCCUGUUGGGCUACCUAAAGCAGAGUCAGGCAUCAGGUAGGUCCAGCAUAGGCAGCGCUUGUUUGUCUUGUGGGCUAAAUAAAAUAGCAAUUCUUGGUGUCUGUGCAUCUUCGUCCGUCCUAACGAGUCUCUUUUGCACGUCCCUGUCGCAGGCUCAACCUGUGGGUCCGACACCAGCAGCCUCAGUGUUUGGCUUGAAGAGAGCUUUGGCAAAUUCUCUGUCUACGUGGACUACCAAGACCUGCGUGCACUCAACGAGGCAUUUGGAAGUUUCCAGGCACUGGACCUUCUGA